CGGGUUCAGCGCGCUCACACACACGCGCGCGCGCGCGACGGGGAAGGGCUCUGUUAUGGUUGCGCAUGCGCUGGAUCCUGGGUGGUUGUUGGGCUUCAGCAGGUUGGGGCCGCUAACGGGAAAACAAGAAGCGUUGGGCAAGGAAUUUUGUACCUGGCGAAGUUGGAGGACACCCCCACACACACACUGCCCUGGAAGAAACAGUCUGUUUCCCUGUCUCUCUGUAUCUGUGUUUUGUGGACGCAGCCUCCGACAAGAUUGCAAAAAUGCAGUUGAUGCCUCUCUGGGGGCUCUGUAUUCCUUCUGGACAGCACCAACUUGGCCUUGCUUAAUUACAUAUUUGUCUCCCCCCUUUUUUGUUAUUGUUGUUAGAUUGGGCAUAUUUUAAGAGUUAGGCUGUGGAUCUUUGUCUUGGAGGCAUCAUUGACCAAAGGAAAUGGAGGAAAAAGAGCGAUGUGAUUCAUUCUAUUUGACACUCUGAUGUUAAGGCCAUAUAAAACAUUUUUCAAGGGGAGGCCGAGAAAAAGAUGCAAAUAUACUAAGGACGGUUGCUUGCAGGCUAAAGGAGGUGGGAGGGUGGGAGAAAAAUGAUUAAAAUCUUUAAGUUAUUUCUGCAGCCAUCCAGUGAAGACAACUAUUAAAGUAACAGCAGGUGUUCCACUUGUGUGGGCUGGAGUUGUCUAGAAACGAAAGGCUGCUUGCUCUGCUUUUUGUGUGGUGGGGAGAAACUUCAUAAACUUUGUCAUCUCCUAUCUUCACGUCCUACACUACAAAAAAAAAAUGAGUUGUGUGCCAUGGAAAGGUGACAAAAUAAAAUCGGAAUCAUCUGAAACACCACAGCCGAUGCCAGUGCGUAUUUAUCAUGAAAAACAGCGCAGGGAGUUAUGUGCUCUCCAUGCCCUCAAUAAUGUCUUCCAGGACGGCAAUGCCUUUACGCGAGACACAUUACAGGAGAUUUUCCAAAGGUUGUCUCCCAACACCAUGGUGACACCCCACAAGAAAAGCAUGCUGGGAAACGGGAACUAUGAUGUGAACGUCAUCAUGGCGGCUCUUCAGACCAAAGGUUAUGAAGCAGUUUGGUGGGAUAAGCGCAGGGAUGUCAGUGUAAUUGCCCUCUCCAAUGUGAUGGGCUUCAUUAUGAAUCUGCCAUCAAGCCUCUGCUGGGGUCCAUUGAAACUUCCUCUUAAACGGCAACAUUGGAUCUGUGUCCGGGAAGUGGGAGGUAUCUACUAUAACCUUGACUCUAAACUCAAGGUGCCUGAAUCCAUUGGAGGUGAAAGUGAGCUCAGGAAGUUUUUGAGACACCAGCUGCGAGGAAAGAAACUGUGAACUCUUCUAGUGGUGCCUGAAGAGGUGGAAGCACAUCAGAGUUGGAAAGCUGAUGCAUGACCUGCAACUACCCUGUCCUUGCACUACAGUACUUGUCUUUCUCCCUCCACCAAUUUCUAAUGUCCUGUGAUGUGGAUAAUGAGCACUCUUCUCUUCCCUGGAACUUUGGCAUUCCCCCCCCCCCCAUUAUGAGGCCAUAAGGCAACCACAAGGUAUUGUCGGAGCCAACAUGAAGAACAGAAGCUGGACAUGUAGUAGGGGAAGAGAAGGAGGUGGACGUAACGCAACCAGAUCUGUGCUCUUUAAUUAUAAUGCAUAGUUUGAUUUAGAAAUGGGUGUUGGAAUUCUCCCCUUUAAUUUCCUGCUUUCCCUCCCCCCGCCCCAGUCUUAAAAGGACUUCAUAUUGUGUUACACACAACUGUCUCCAGGAGUUCCUAUAGCUCCUGUUUGGCUAGUGUGUGUCUCCUUCAGGGUAGGGCUGGGGCCAGGCAUAUUCUCCCCCCCCCCCAAAGCCAUGCCUGCCUCCCUCCAACCCUCAUUGUGGAACUCCCUACAGGAGUUUUGGGCUUUUCCUGCCUCCAUACUCUUCAUUGUGUGUCCUUUGUCUCCAACACCAAACUUAUGUUGAAGAAAUUUGCAAACCAUUUGGGUCUCUCAGGAAACUCUAGAUCCUCUUAGCAAAGGUAUGGUGCUUGUGGAUUCCCCUUUUGUAAUAGUAAUUGUGCCAAGAGUUAGGGGAGACGUAGACAAAAUGGGACCAUAAUAAUGGAACUCCUUACAGGAGUUUUCCUGUCUCAUACUCUUUUUAAGUGUGGUCUGAAAAUGAAAGACUGAAUAGUUUGGAAAAGUGGUAGCUAAAUUGAUGCUUAUUUAAAAGCCUCAAGUAUUUUUGUUAGGUGGUCCACAUGUAGCCUGUGUUUAUUUUUCUUAUCUGUCUGUCCUGUAAUUCAGGGAAAUAUUCACUGAGCAGGGAAUAAAACUACAGGCUGUUUGAGGAUGAAAUCAUGAAACAAAAGGGAAGAGUAGCCAAGUUUCAGCAAGGGAAAAAGUGGUGUUGAUUCAGCAGCUCAGGAAAAGGGAACAUGUGAUCACCCCACCCCUCUGGACCAGUUAUGGCUAGCAGAGGAAAGGAACCAGCCCAUUCCCAUUGCUUGGGAAUGGAGAGCCCUUAAUUGUUUUCCUGCUGUUUGGUUUUGUUAUAGCCUUGUCUUGGGUUUGUUUACAGAGAUGUAUUUGUUUAACCAAAUAUUAAAAAUGAAAAA
Molecule: RNA transcript, 2591 nt
Organism: Lacerta agilis (Sand lizard)
Lineage: Eukaryota; Metazoa; Chordata; Lepidosauria; Squamata; Lacertidae
Gene: JOSD1
Gene name: Josephin domain containing 1
Exons: 6
Source: RefSeq, a predicted model, not a curated record